This 45-nucleotide non-coding RNA is filed under the name Schistosoma mansoni. The record is from RNAcentral. Lineage: Eukaryota; Metazoa; Platyhelminthes; Trematoda; Strigeidida; Schistosomatidae.
AUCUAGAUGACGAGUCCUAAAUGGAACGAAACGUACGUCCUGGAU